RNAcentral lists this ribosomal RNA (492 nucleotides) under uncultured bacterium. RNAcentral describes it as "partial 16S ribosomal RNA". It matches the Rfam family "Bacterial small subunit ribosomal RNA", at positions 29 to 507 of the family's 1533-position model. The record is from RNAcentral.
AGUGAACGCUGGCGGUAGGCCUAACACAUGCAAGUCGAACGGCAGCACAGUAAGAGCUUGCUCUUACGGGUGGCGAGUGGCGGACGGGUGAGGAAUACAUCGGAAUCUACUUUUUCGUGGGGGAUAACGUAGGGAAACUUACGCUAAUACCGCAUACGACCUACGGGUGAAAGCAGGGGAUCUUCGGACCUUGCGCGAUUGAAUGAGCCGAUGUCGGAUUAGCUAGUUGGCGGGGUAAAGGCCCACCAAGGCGACGAUCCGUAGCUGGUCUGAGAGGAUGAUCAGCCACACUGGAACUGAGACACGGUCAAGACUCCUACGGGAGGCAGUAGUGGGGAAUAUUGGACAAUGGGCGCAAGCCUGAUCCAGCCAUACCGCGUGGGUGAAGAAGGCCUUCGGGUUGUAAAGCCCUUUUGUUGGGAAAGAAAAGCAGCAGGUUAAUACCCCGCUGUUCUGACGGUACCCAAAGAAUAAGCACCGGCUAACUUCGUG